Molecule: long non-coding RNA, 1096 nt
Filed under: Rattus norvegicus (Norway rat)
Lineage: Eukaryota; Metazoa; Chordata; Mammalia; Rodentia; Muridae
Description: long non-coding RNA NONRATT026350
Source: RNAcentral
CCCUACACACACACACACACACACACACACACACACACACACACACACCACACACACUUCUCUCCACACUCUUUACACGAUUCUCUGGUAUUUAUUUUAAAAGGGAUUCCCCUGAAGAUGUAGAAGAUGAUUCCUGGCUUUGCUUGUAUGCUGGGAAUUAGAAUACUGGAUUGACUUUUUUUUUUAAAUGAAAAGAAAGAAGGGGAAAAAAACAGGAAAGGGGGAAAUGAAAGGGAAAAUUUAAAAAGAAAAAAAAAGAUAGCAAAGAAGAUUCCCCUCCCCCAUCUGAGGCUGUUUCCUUAGAAAACCCCCCUUGACUUUCUCCAGGAAUCUACUGGAAAUCAAGGAAAUGUGGGUUUCUCUACCCACCUCCUUCCUGAGGGUUCUAUAAGGACUGGCAAUGGUCUCUGAAAUCCUACCUAUCCAUCCCAUAGUCACUUGGGUCCAUGCCUUCCUUGCCUUGCCUUUGCUGUUUGAUCUUUUGGGCCCUGGCUUCCUCUGAGCUGUGUUAGUGUUUGUGCUCAGAAAUCACCAUAAUCAUGAAGAUAAUAUACUGAUAAUAAAUCUUUAACAUACUACCUAAAGGGAACCUGCAAUAAUCUUGGGGGAAAAAAAGAAAGAAAAAAAAUCCUAAUACAGGAGGGAGAAAAAAAGAAGAAAAAAAAAGAAAAAAAGAAACAAACCUCCAGCGUAUUUUAUCACUACCUAUAGAAAGAAAUCCUGCUUUGAGAGUAUUUGUAAUGCGGUUUUGUUGUUGUUUGUUGCUGCUUAUUUCUCCAUGAAAAAAAAAAAAAACCCAACAACUGAGACUGCCUAGCCCGCCGGUCUUGUGCGCUUUUAUUGUGCUUCUAACCCCAGUAGAGUAGAACUAAACUGCACUGAAUGUAUAGUUACUCUGUCUUGAAUUUCUCUGUUUAUGCAAUGUGCUCGAAAGGUUAAAGAAAAACGUUAAAAUAUAUCUAUAACAAUGAUUUUGGUCAUUUGUCUUUAUGUCCAGCUAUGAAUGUAGAUUUUGUGUCCUGAAAGCUCUGUUCCUGGUCCAAGUACUUUGUAUUGUAUAUGUGAGUCAUAAUAAUAAAAAAAAAAACAAAAGAAG